UCGGGAAUUUUGCUCAAUGGGGGAAACCCUGAAGCAGCAACGCCGCGUGAGGGAUGAAGGCCUUCGGGUUGUAAACCUCUUUUGUCAGGGACGAUGAUGACGGUACCUGGCGAAUAAGCCACGGCUAACUACGUGCCAGCAGCCGCGGUAAUACGUAGGUGGCAAGCGUUGUCCGGAUUUACUGGGCGUAAAGAGCGCGCAGGCGGUCUUGUAAGUCGAAUGUGAAAGCCCCUGGCUCAACCAGGGAGGGUCAUUCGAUACUGCUUGACUCGAAGGCAGGAGAGGGAAGUGGAAUUCCGGGUGUAGUGGUGAAAUGCGUAGAUAUCCGGAGGAACACCAGUGGCGAAGGCGACUUUCUGGCCUGUUCUUGACGCUGAGGCGCGAAAGCUAGGGGAGCAAA
Molecule: ribosomal RNA, 400 nt
Filed under: uncultured bacterium
Lineage: Bacteria
Description: bacterial SSU rRNA
Rfam family: Bacterial small subunit ribosomal RNA
Source: RNAcentral